This is a long non-coding RNA of Columba livia (rock pigeon), 4818 nucleotides long. RefSeq lists it as uncharacterized. The record is from RefSeq and is a predicted model, not a curated record. NCBI's taxonomy places the organism in Eukaryota, Metazoa, Chordata, Aves, Columbiformes, Columbidae. The transcript has 2 exons.
ACAUAACCAGAUAAAGACGACACGGCUCAUACGGAAAACUUGGAAGGGAAGCCCUAAAGUUUAGAUUGCACUACACAGACAGUUAAACAUUAUCAAAAUAAAAUGCACCCCCUCCAAAAAAUAAGGAUCCUGUGUGAUCUUGUUAUUUCCAUUAGUGUUGAAAAUUGUGCUUAAGCUGGGCAACUCUCCUGCUUGGUAAUGCCAUGAUUUAGAAGUUUGCUGAGCUACAGCUAUUUGCAGUUGUUAGAAUGAAAUGUCCUUUCAUCUCUGCAAUCUCAUUCAGUUCCCCCAGCAUUGUGGGGACGCAGGCGAACCACUAUAAAUAACUGAGCCUUUUCAUGCCAGCUGGUACAAAUACCAGCCACUUCGAACAAUCUGACCUUUCUUGGGGAUUCUGACCAAUCUGCAGAGGAAGAUGGGUUAUAUCUUUCAGGAUUUUCCAUGGUUAAGCUGUGACUCCUGCGCUGUUAAAUGUCAUCAAACAACAUUUCCAUUCAAAAGGGGCAUGUGCGGUGUGCAUUGAGGCUUGCCAAAAACAGGUAUCAACAGCCACCAGGUGCAAGUGUGGAAUGAGUCAAGCGUGAUAGCAUUUGGUCACCUGGCUAGUGCUUGUCUGAAGAGAUCAUGAACAUUGACCUCCUCAUCAGAGAAGAGAUGAUGGGCGCCAUGAAGCUGCUCUUAGCUUCUAUGUCUGGUCUUUCCUCAGCUCAUUUCCCCAGCUUCACACCACAUCAGACUGAAACUCCUAAAAAUCAGCUCUUGGGACUGCAAAGCUCAGAGUAACCCAGUCUGCUCCAAUGAGAGAUGUGUGCUGGACCCUCUGUCCCCUCUACUUUGCUCCUCAGCUUCUGCAGUGCCCCAGAGCAUCCAGCCACAAGGAACUUGUCCCUUUGUAAGCUGCGUUUUACACGCUUUUCCUUUGGUUUGAUACGUUUGUUAUUCAAACACAAAAAUGCGAUCGUUUUUGACAGCAGAAUAAAAUGAACCAAGUAUGUGCACAUGAAGCACUAUUGUUUAUUCCCCUGAUCUGUCUCCUGCCAGUGGGAUUUUUUAGUGCGAGGGUGGAAUAGAGGCGUUUUCAUCCCAAAAUGUCAAUAAUGGUCUGGAAUAAUGUUUUGAGGUAGUUUGGCACCAUAUUGUGAUACCCAUAGCAACCUUUAAAGAAAACCGAGCUGGACACUGCAACGGAAACUUUGCACCAUGUACAAUCUAAUUCACAACCCAAAUUUCCCAGAAGAAGCCACAGCUCAUUACCACACCUACAGAACCACUCCUGAAGGAGCACAGAUCUUCCUCUCAUUCCUCCUCCUCCUCUCCGGCUGACAGCCAGAACUGGUGCCCAACAAAAGGAUGCUGCUGUGAGGAAACAGCCAAGAAAAAGCAAAGCUGCUGAAGUGCUUUUCAGAAUUGGCUUAAAACAGUAAAUAUAUUGUGUAAUGAACAAGUUUGGAUAAAAGUAACAUCCCUACAGACAACAGAUCUUUGCUUGUUCACCAGAUUGAUCCCCUCUGUUACCACACCUGAGACUUAAUAUCAUGUAAAUCUCCGUAAAUUUCUGUCCUAAUGUAUUUCAAUGUAUCAAAACAAGCUGCGUAUACCAAAUCUGGUUUAUUUUACUAAAAACACUUGGACCCAACUCUAACAAUUUUGUAAGGUUACGCUGCUCAAGAUUAUUCUUUUGGUAGAAUUUGGUCAUGAUUUUAACACUAGUCCAAAGUACCUUGGAUUCCAAGAUGCUCAGCUUGUAGCAUUUGAGUUUUCCACAGGAGUCAAUGAGGCCAUUAUUCACGUGCUUAAAAUUAGGCAUAUGCUUAAGUGGUUUGCCUUUGGGAUAAAGAGCCCAUUUGGGACUCUUCGGUACUUAGCUCUGAUAAAAUCCAUCAAUCUUGCUUAGAUGAUUAAAACAAAAGCAUCUUUCUCAGAACUUCCAACAGAUGUUUUCAUAAAUUUUAACGUACUUCUUUUCCCUGUCUCAUUCAUUUCCAGUACAAGUAUUCCCUUAAAAGCUGAAUGAGGAAAUCUGUAAACUUAAUGGAGGAAAUUUAUUUGGAUAGAAAGACAUCUAAAGAAGCAUAACGGCACUUGCAAUGAUCUCCAGCCAAAUUCUGCACCCAUUAACUUUCUUUAUGCCUUUCGCCACUGCCAGAUGUAUCUGUGCAAAUGAGAUUUUCCAAAGUAACUAUUGUCUCCUCGGAAUCCCACAAAAUCCUUUCUAAUAGACUCUGAGCAGAGUUUUUAACAAACCAAGAGAGUGUAUAACUGCUCACUCCAUAUGUCUGAAGUGUAUUCAUCCUUCUACCCAUCCCAUUUCAUUCUGUCAACAACAUGCAUUUUGUCGAACCUCUUACUGCAAAUCAUUCAGUCAAUGAAACCGAAAGACAUUUCAGCACGUUUUUAUCAUCAGAAUGUAAUUUUGUGCAAAUCAUGCUGUCAACGGGAAAGAAUGCCAAAAGAAAAGUGAAAGAACCCAAACUCAUUUUGUCCACAAAAAAUAAAUUACAGUUUGCUUCUAUUUUGUGCACGAAGACAAACUGGAAACAGCAAAACUUCCCCAUCUGUGGACAAAAUUAAGAUUGAUCUCUUAAUUCAGGAGACCAAACAGUAUUUGGUAGAAAAACACCAACACUAUGAAGGACAGCUAAGAUGUAGCACUGUUUUUAUUGUAUGAGUGAAAUGGCACCUGAGAUAUUUUAUCCAUUGUAGCAAAACGUUCGGUGAUGGGCUCGAAUACAGGCAAGCAGGCCGAGCUGAAGAAAAACACAGAUGUUAUUUAAUUUUCCAACUGAUAAAUGGCUCGGGUUGCUCUGUAGGUGCAUAGAAUAAUAGAAUGGUUUGGGUUGGAAGGGACCUUAAAGGUCACCUAGUUCCAACCCGCCUGCCAUGGGCAGGGACACCUUCCGCUAGACGAGGUUGCUCAAAGCACCACAGUUCCAAUACCUGCCUUGCAAAUGCUCUCCAUCGCAGGACCCAAAUCAGUUUCUACCUCCCAGCUACUAAAGGGCCUUUUUUGCUGGUCCACAGCAGGGACAGGAUUCCUGACCCUCUGUUAAUUCCCAGCAAAACCCACCAAGGCAAAAAGUUUGGCUUCUCUAAAGGUGGAGUGAAAAUUGGCCACAGGGAACAGAAGAUUACAGGAGAACAGUGAACCAUUUGCUUUCCUACACCUGCUCAGGUUUUAGUUCAAGGUGUGACCAGCCAACUAUGAUUAUAAGAUAUUUUUUUUUAUAUAAGGAUGCUAUUUAAUUAUCUUCAAUAUUUUGAUGCUAUCUUUCUAUGAACUGGAGUUAUUUCUUUAUAUGGUGAAAACCAACAAUAGACUUCCUGGGCUUUUUGGAGAAUUUCACUGUGUUUUCAGAUCACCUUAUCCCUUCCAGUUCGUCAGUGAAUUGUUCAAAUAAGGCCUUGGAGAACUGACAGUCCCGAGGAGUUUGUGCGGUGCUGGAGGAGCAGAGGCAGUGGCUGCCAUCCAGCAUCUCAGAAAUCAGAAUGAGACUCACCACAUGCCAUUUUGGUACACACCGUGGGGGAGAACAGAUCAUUUUCUCCAUCAGUCCCCAAUCUUUACUGGGGAAAGCGACGACCCAGCCAAAUUCUCCGAGUCCUGCUCACCCACAAAAAGAGGGACGCGCUGAGAGAAGGUACGCAUUGUGCAGCGUUAAAAAUGUAACCGCUUUGAGACACGGGCCAACACACUGACACCAAAAGCUGGCAGCAAAUAUGUCGGAGGGAUCACGAAGUUGGCAUGAGAGGGUUUCAGCUAAUACAAGAGAUUAUUUUCAGGGCCUCGCUGCGUGCCAAGCACAACACAAAGCUGGGCUCAGAGAGCAGCUCUUCUGCUGGAGCCGCGGGGGGUGGCAGCGGCGCAGAGCAGGCGCUCGGGAGAAACCUGGCCUGGGUCUCGAUCUGGGGCUCUGCAGGGACCAGCUCCUUUUGGGCUGUGUCUCACUGCUGUGUGUCCCACCUGAGACUCUUUUUGCAACGGUCUGCCUGAAGUGCCUAUGGGAUGGGUCACCUUUCUGAUUUUCACACCCACAUUGACAUGGUAUUUGGAGGGGAACUUGGCGCAUCCCUUUGUCUGCACCAGGUUGCUCCAGCGAGCUUCAGAUUUGAAAGCCUUUGUUUUUGUCAACAUCAAGGACCUUCUGCAGGUAGUCUAAUGUUUAAUCCUUACCUGCCUUCCUAUCCAAGGCAGCCCCAAAGGCAACAAAGCAUUCAUUAAAAGCAUAAUGCAACUUUAAAGGAGGUAGAUAUAUUCAGUGGGAAGAAGUAUCCUGAGGAAUUAAAAAACAAUUUCAUAUCAUUUUGCUGUCCACUUCUCAUGGUGUUAUCUUGCCGUUUUGGUUGUGCUGACGGUGCUGCGUAUUGAAAGAAGGAUUCGCAUCUGCGAGGCACAGACAGCAAGCACUGCAAAGUGUUUGCUUGGGCUGGGUCAACAGAAAUUUUCCUCCUUUUAAAAGCUAUUGUGCUAAAGUCUCUCUGAAAAAGUGGACGAGGGCCCUGGCUGUGCCUUCAGGCUGGCCGUCCUUGUCCACUGGCACUAAAUGCCCUCACCCUGAUCAGUUCUGCUGAAUUUGUGCAUCCUCCUUUCCCCAACACUUUGUGCUGUGGCCGUCAGAACUGAGGUCUUGCUAACUAGCCAAAGUGAUUUAUUGUCUUCUGCUGUACAUCAGGAAUCUGCAAACUAAACUCUUUAAAUGUCUAACAUUUAAAAAUAUGUAUGUCUUCCAACACGCAAAACUAGAAGAUGCUCACAGGCUUUGAUGCUGGCACUUUCCAUUGCUCGUGUUUUGGUCAUAAUAAAAUCAUUUCUGCUAAUCA